GAUGAACGCUGGCGGCGUGCCUAAUACAUGCAAGUCGAGCGAACAGACGAGGAGCUUGCUCCUCUGACGUUAGCGGCGGACGGGUGAGUAACACGUGGAUAACCUACCUAUAAGACUGGGAUAACUUCGGGAAACCGGAGCUAAUACCGGAUAAUAUAUUGAACCGCAUGGUUCAAUAGUGAAAGACGGUUUUGCUGUCACUUAUAGAUGGAUCCGCGCCGCAUUAGCUAGUUGGUAAGGUAACGGCUUACCAAGGCGACGAUGCGUAGCCGACCUGAGAGGGUGAUCGGCCACACUGGAACUGAGACACGGUCCAGACUCCUACGGGAGGCAGCAGUAGGGAAUCUUCCGCAAUGGGCGAAAGCCUGACGGAGCAACGCCGCGUGAGUGAUGAAGGUCUUCGGAUCGUAAAACUCUGUUAUUAGGGAAGAACAAAUGUGUAAGUAACUAUGCACGUCUUGACGGUACCUAAUCAGAAAGCCACGUCUAACUACGUG
This 497-nucleotide ribosomal RNA is filed under the name uncultured bacterium. RNAcentral's name for it is "partial 16S ribosomal RNA". It matches the Rfam family "Bacterial small subunit ribosomal RNA", at positions 28 to 507 of the family's 1533-position model. The record is from RNAcentral.